Long non-coding RNA from Rosa rugosa (rugosa rose), 460 nucleotides. RefSeq lists it as uncharacterized. Lineage: Eukaryota; Viridiplantae; Streptophyta; Magnoliopsida; Rosales; Rosaceae. The record is from RefSeq and is a predicted model, not a curated record. The transcript is spliced from 4 exons.
AACAAAACUCCCCAACCGAAGCAAAGCAGAUUAGCAGCAACACAGAGAAAACAACAAGAAGAAGAAGAAGGAGGAGGAGGAGAAGGAGAUCACCAUGAUGCACUACAAGGAGGAAAAAGAGGCAAAGAAAGAAGCUUUCAGGAAGUACUUGGAAUCCAGUGGAGUUCUUGAUGCCCUCACCAAAGGUUUGUUCAACAAAAGUUAGGAGGUCCAUCUUUGUCCGAGUAUGAAAAGCUACAGGCUGAAUUAUCAGAUCUGCAGAUGAAGUAUAACCAACUUUUCACAGCUUACCAAGAGACCAGUGCAGAGUUGGAGGAACUUAAGAGCUCACAAGCGCAUACAACACAUAAUGAGGCACCAGGUUCUACCAAGGAGACCACUGCUGAGGAGGCCCAAAAGGAAAAGUUGUAGAAGCGUGGUGGAGAAUCUGGUAUAUUGUUAAGCAAAGUGAAACCUUUAU